Small nucleolar RNA from Tachyglossus aculeatus (Australian echidna), 137 nucleotides. The record is from RefSeq and is a predicted model, not a curated record. NCBI's taxonomy places the organism in Eukaryota, Metazoa, Chordata, Mammalia, Monotremata, Tachyglossidae.
CCCCUCUCAGGAUCACACCUGGAGAGUUUCCAGUACUCUACCAGUCUCGGUUAUGGGAGGGAAAGUCAAGCAGAGGCAUAUCCAUUCCAUUCCUAGCUGGGCAGUGGCUAGAGAGUGCAAAGCAAUCUGCUACAAGA